Molecule: ribosomal RNA, 447 nt
Filed under: Sancus acoreensis
Lineage: Eukaryota; Metazoa; Arthropoda; Arachnida; Araneae; Tetragnathidae
Description: partial 12S ribosomal RNA
Source: RNAcentral
UCACAUAUAAACCAGGAUUAGAUACCCUAUUAUAUUUAAACAAAUUGGGUAGUAUUAUUAAUAAAAACCUUUAUACUUUGGCGGCAUUUUAUCUUAUUAGAGGAAUAUGUUCAUUAAUCGAAACCACACGAUAGUUUUUACUUACUAUAAAAUUUUAUAUACCCCCGUCUAAAGAAUUUAUUUAAAAUUUUUAUUCCAAAUUAUAUUAAAAAAAGUUAGGUAAAGGUGUAGACUAUUAGUAAGAUUAAAUGUAUUACAUUAAAAAAAAUUUAAGGAUAAAACAGUUAACUGUUUAUUAAAAGAGGAUUUAUAAGUAAUUUACUUUUAAUAAAAAUUAAUGAAUAAGAAAAUAAAUGUGCACAUAUCGCCCGUCACUCUCACAUAUAAACCAGGAUUAGAUACCCUAUUAUACAUAUCGCCCGUCACUCUCACAUAUAAACCAGGAUU